Molecule: transfer RNA, 73 nt
Filed under: Microbacterium phage PauloDiaboli
Lineage: Duplodnaviria; Heunggongvirae; Uroviricota; Caudoviricetes
Also listed under: 1 other name
Rfam family: tRNA
About the family: Transfer RNA (tRNA) molecules are approximately 80 nucleotides in length. Their secondary structure includes four short double-helical elements and three loops (D, anti-codon, and T loops). Further hydrogen bonds mediate the characteristic L-shaped molecular structure. tRNAs have two regions of fundamental functional importance: the anti-codon, which is responsible for specific mRNA codon recognition, and the 3' end, to which the tRNAs corresponding amino acid is attached (by aminoacyl-tRNA synthetases). tRNAs cope with the degeneracy of the genetic code in two manners: having more than one tRNA (with a specific anti-codon) for a particular amino acid; and 'wobble' base-pairing, i.e. permitting non-standard base-pairing at the 3rd anti-codon position.
Source: Rfam by way of RNAcentral
GGGUCUCUGGUAUAACGGCGAUUACUCUGGACUUUUACUCCAUGGAAUGUGGGUUCGACCCCCACGGGACCCA